Physella acuta is the source of this 327-nucleotide long non-coding RNA. RefSeq lists it as uncharacterized. The record is from RefSeq and is a predicted model, not a curated record. NCBI's taxonomy places the organism in Eukaryota, Metazoa, Mollusca, Gastropoda, Physidae.
AAGGAUGUGUUUUGCUAAAUGGUCCACUCCACUUACUGCGUCAUUGGUAAAGCCCACUGAGUCAGGCUGUGUGAAAAACCGUUUAAAAAGUCAGCAGCCAUUUCUUAGCAUUGGUCAACCGUGUACAGCAGACUUAGAUAAGAGCUUGAAGGAUCUUCCAUAGUGGUGUGUGUUGUCUGAUGGCUUUAAGUCAAGUGGGGAGUUCAAAGAGUGACAGCUGCUGAAUGUGAUGUGAAGGUCAAGGUUAUUUCAAUCAAACAGUUGCCACAGAUGACCAUAAGACUACAGUAAUGGCCAGUAGAUAUCUGUCACAUAAAGCUACAGGUA